Molecule: ribosomal RNA, 236 nt
Filed under: uncultured bacterium
Lineage: Bacteria
Description: partial 16S ribosomal RNA
Rfam family: Bacterial small subunit ribosomal RNA
Source: RNAcentral
CCGGCACGGGUGAGUAACACGUAUCCAACCUGCCGUCUACUCUUGGACAGCCUUCUGAAGGAAGAUUAAUACAAGAUGGCAUCAUGAGUCCGCAUGUUCACAUGAUUAAAGGUAUUCCGGUAGACGAUGGGGAUGCGUUCCAUUAGAUAGUAGGCGGGGUAACGGCCCACCUAGUCUUCGAUAGAUAGGGGUUCUGAGAGGAAGGUCCCCCACAUUGGAACUGAGACACGGUCCAA